CAGCGCCUCCCAUUUAGUGAUGGCCGAUCUUGGUUACUGCAGCCUACCUGUCCACCAUGUGAUAAAACAGGUGAAGCUGAUGAGCACGUGGUCAGUGUCAUGUCGGUGAACGGAAGUCCUGAAGAAAACACGUCAGUUAUAAUCUGAACAACUGGAAGGGAACAAGAACAUUGGAAUGAAAACCACUGGGAGCUUGUUUUCCAGCGUUGAGGCCUUCAGCCAGUUGUCCAGCAGGAGUGGAGCUGUCUUCAGUGGGAAGCUGCAGUGAAUGGAUGUGGACCACAGACUGCAGAUAAGAUGUGGACCAGCUCUUCAGCUCCAUGGGACAUCAGCAGGACUGGACCUGAGCCUGAAAUGAGGGAUGUGCAGGAGUCCGGAUCAGCUCCGUCUCAAGCCCCUCGCUGCCCCUGGUGUUUCGCCGGAUUACGUCAUCAGAGGAGUCGCAUGAUGCUCGACUGUUUGCUUCAGUUUUCCCAGCUUCUAGGAUAGAAGAAUCGAAAAAAAGAGGAGUACCAGAGUGGGGAGA
This is a long non-coding RNA of Paralichthys olivaceus (Japanese flounder), 526 nucleotides long. RefSeq lists it as uncharacterized. The record is from RefSeq and is a predicted model, not a curated record. NCBI's taxonomy places the organism in Eukaryota, Metazoa, Chordata, Actinopteri, Pleuronectiformes, Paralichthyidae.